GCGCUUUAUAUUUGAUCUUAGUGCAUUCUAACAGCAGUCUGUGUCUUCCUACUAUUCUCCAACUACGUUUGGGCUGCGAUCGUGCGGGUGUGAAUGAACCAAUCGAGACAGGAUCCGACCACAUUCUAUGUGGUCGUACGGCAUUCAUACAC
This is a long non-coding RNA of Thalassophryne amazonica, 152 nucleotides long. RefSeq lists it as uncharacterized. The record is from RefSeq and is a predicted model, not a curated record. Lineage: Eukaryota; Metazoa; Chordata; Actinopteri; Batrachoidiformes; Batrachoididae. The transcript has 3 exons.